AGAUUGAACGCUGGCGGCAGGCCUAACACAUGCAAGUCGAGCGGUAGAGAGGUGCUUGCAUCUCUUGAGAGCGGCGGACGGGUGAGUAAUGCCUAGGAAUCUGCCUAGUGGUGGGGGAUAACGUUCGGAAACGGACGCUAAUACCGCAUACGUCCUACGGGAGAAAGCGGGGGACCUUCGGGCCUCGCGCCAUUAGAUGAGCCUAGGUCGGAUUAGCUAGUCGGUGAGGUAAUGGCUCACCAAGGCGACGAUCCGUAACUGGUCUGAGAGGAUGAUCAGUCACACUGGAACUGAGACACGGUCCAGACUCCUACGGGAGCAGCAGUGGGGAAUAUUGGACAAGUGGGCGAAAGCCUGAUCCAGCCAUGCCGCGUGUGUG
Molecule: ribosomal RNA, 379 nt
Filed under: uncultured soil bacterium
Lineage: Bacteria
Description: bacterial SSU rRNA
Rfam family: Bacterial small subunit ribosomal RNA
Source: RNAcentral